CGGGACGGGUGAGUAAUGUCUGGGAAACUGCCUGAUGGAGGGGGAUAACUACUGGAAACGGUAGCUAAUACCGCAUAACGUCGCAAGACCAAAGUGGGGGACCUUCGGGCCUCUUGCCAUCGGAUGUGCCCAGAUGGGAUUAGCUAGUAGGUGGGGUAACGGCUCACCUAGGCGACGAUCCCUAGCUGGUCUGAGAGGAUGACCAGCCACACUGGAACUGAGACACGGUCCAG
This 233-nucleotide ribosomal RNA is filed under the name uncultured bacterium. RNAcentral's name for it is "partial 16S ribosomal RNA". It matches the Rfam family "Bacterial small subunit ribosomal RNA", at positions 100 to 334 of the family's 1533-position model. The record is from RNAcentral.